UUCUAUUAUAUUUGAAAAUUGCUCGUUCCGUUGAUCCAUUGUAAGUCCCUUGCGCGAUUCACAUUAGAUACGAUUACUGAAUCAAGCCUGCCGCAAAACAGAUAGCCCUUCAUUGCAAGACCGGUUUUUUAAACCACAUUAAAUUUUAUACUUUUUGGAGUUAUCUAUGUCUACUUCUACAGGCACAGUAAAAUGGUUCGACGAAGCUAAAGGUUUCGGUUUUAUUUCUCAAGCUGACGGCGGCAAAGAUGUAUUCGUACACUUCCGUGCGAUCAAAUCUGACGGUUUCCGUACCUUAACUGAAGGUCAAAACGUUCAGUUCACUAUCGAACAAGGUAACAAAGGUCCACAGGCUGCUGACGUAGUAGUACUGUAAGACAUUUGUUCUUAAAAACAGGCACCUUCGGGUGCCUGUUUUGUU
Molecule: non-coding RNA, 421 nt
Filed under: Marisediminitalea lipolytica
Lineage: Bacteria; Pseudomonadati; Pseudomonadota; Gammaproteobacteria; Alteromonadales; Alteromonadaceae
Description: Alteromonas lipolytica cspA thermoregulator
Rfam family: cspA thermoregulator
Source: Rfam by way of RNAcentral